Non-coding RNA from Chrysemys picta bellii (western painted turtle), 1348 nucleotides. The record is from RefSeq and is a predicted model, not a curated record. NCBI's taxonomy places the organism in Eukaryota, Metazoa, Chordata, Testudines, Emydidae.
UUUAUAUCUGCAGUGAAUACAUAUGUGCUAGAAAAGACUGUAUCUUUGGCAGGAUUUGGUGAUUAAAAAUUUAAAGGAUAAAUCAGUCAUAAUGGGCUUCUGCUGAUGGGUAAUGUUGGCAAAACAUUGCCAAUCUUCAUUGUCAGGAUAUAUGAUUAAGCCUUUCUGCAUGAAGAGUCACAAGACCAGUGUGAAGGUUGCAAUUUGUGUUUAUUUGGAUUUGAAACUCAGUUUUGAGGAGACUAGAGGCAACAUUUGGCUUAAAGAUGGAUCUUUGCUUCAAGAUCUGCAAGUUUGCAUUAAUUUCAUCUGCAUUUCUGUGUCUUGUCUGCCAAUCACCAUUUCUCUGCUCUUAUCCUUUUAAUCAUAUUUACUAACUCCAAUGCCAUCUGCCACUGCUAUGUUUCGUCAUUGCAUGCUAUGGUUCACCGGUAGAAAGGGUAAGGUACUGUAUAAUUGUUCUCAUUGCGGUUGGUACAGAACCCUUAAAUAUCUUUAACCACAGCAUUGGUAAAUGUUGUCAUGACAUUUUGUUUUAAAGUACCUCUUUUCUCCCGUCGUACAGUUAAGAUCAUGUAGUUGUCUCGUGGGUUAAAACCUUCAAUUAACAUCUAUUUGUCCUUCUCCUGGUACUCUCCCACCCCCACUACUUCUUUGAAAUGUAGAGUGAGGGAAGAAUUUUAUUUAUAACUGUCUUGUAUGGAGUUGGAAAAUGUAAGUAAAUAUUUCAGGGCUGUGUAUGUGACAGCAUUUACAUUUGUAUAACAUUGGAAUAUAUCUAUAACCUUCAUUGUGCUGUAUAGAUUUACAAAUUAAUAUUUCAAAAUCAGCAUGCAUUUUGAAUUGUUAAGGUGAAAUAAGAGCAGUAUUUGAGAAUGUAUUUCUAUAAUGUCAAAUGAUAAACAUUAGUCAUGCACCAUGUUUUUCAUUGGCAUAUGUAUUUUCUAUGCUACAGUACCUCCUAAAUGAUAUGGCUAUACUCUAGCUUCACUGCAUUAAGCUUCAUAAACCUUCCCUUUAUAAAGCUCUGCUGACAGCAAGACUUAACUCCUCUGUUCUCAAGGAUAGCUGAUAAAACACAAAGGAUCUAUGUCCAGUACAGCAAUUUCUUUCUUCGAACAGCUUUUUAAAAGUGCUUACAUUAAUUUGCUGAAGACUGUAACUUGGCCUAUAGCCAGCAAAUUGUGCUAAUGUUAAGGAAAAAAAUCAAUGUACACCACUGACUCUGUAUUUUCAAUUUACAGUAAAAAUUGUAAUCUCACAGCAUUUCAAUGUAAAACAAAUCUAGGCUUGUGGAAGUUUUCUUUUUUAAAACUAUAUAUUUUUAAAAUGUAUAAUACAUAUCCUA